UCCCUAAUAGCUCAGUGGAAGAGCGAAUGGCUGUUAACCAUUUCGUCGUUGGUUCAAAUCCAGCUUAGGGAG
This 72-nucleotide transfer RNA is filed under the name Thraustochytrium aureum. RNAcentral's name for it is "tRNA-Asn". It matches the Rfam family "tRNA". From Rfam's summary of the family: Transfer RNA (tRNA) molecules are approximately 80 nucleotides in length. The record is from RNAcentral. Lineage: Eukaryota; Bigyra; Thraustochytrida; Thraustochytriidae.